RNAcentral lists this ribosomal RNA (255 nucleotides) under uncultured bacterium. Its description in RNAcentral is "partial 16S ribosomal RNA". It matches the Rfam family "Bacterial small subunit ribosomal RNA", at positions 524 to 776 of the family's 1533-position model. The record is from RNAcentral.
UACAGAGGGUGCGAGCGUUGUCCGGAAUCACUGGGCGUAAAGGGCGCGUAGGCGGCUUGGUAAGCGUGCGGUGAAAGCCCGGGGCUCAACCCCCGGGUCGGCCGUGCGAACUGCUGGGCUGGAGCACUGUAGAGGCAGGUGGAAUUCCGGGUGUAGCGGUGGAAUGCGUAGAGAUCCGGAAGAACACCGGUGGCGAAGGCGGCCUGCUGGGCAGUAGCUGACGCUGAGGCGCGACAGCGUGGGGGAGCAAACAGG